Molecule: non-coding RNA, 29 nt
Filed under: Rattus norvegicus (Norway rat)
Lineage: Eukaryota; Metazoa; Chordata; Mammalia; Rodentia; Muridae
Source: RNAcentral
UCCUAAAAUCAGCCCUGGUUCUUUUGAGC